UGGGGAAUAUUGCACAAUGGGCGCAAGCCUGAUGCAGCCAUGCCGCGUGUGUGAAGAAGGCCUUCGGGUUGUAAAGCACUUUCAGCGAGGAGGAAGGUGGUGAGCUUAAUACGCUCAUCAAUUGACGUUACUCGCAGAAGAAGCACCGGCUAACUCCGUGCCAGCAGCCGCGGUAAUACGGAGGGUGCAAGCGUUAAUCGGAAUUACUGGGCGUAAAGCGCACGCAGGCGGUUUGUUAAGUCAGAUGUGAAAUCCCCGGGCUCAACCUGGGAACUGCAUUUGAAACUGGCAAGCUAGAGUCUCGUAGAGGGGGGUAGAAUUCCAGGUGUAGCGGUGAAAUGCGUAGAGAUCUGGAGGAAUACCGGUGGCGAAGGCGGCCCCCUGGACGAAGACUGACGCUCAGGUGCGAAAGCGUGGGGCAGCAAACAGGAUUAGAUACCCUGGUAGUCCAGCGCUGUAAAACGAUGUCGAUUUUGGAGGUUGUGCCCUUGAGGCGUGGCUUCCGGAGCUAACGCGUUAAAUCGACCGCCUGGGGAGUACGGACGCAAGGUUAAAACUCAAAUGAAUUGAC
Molecule: ribosomal RNA, 571 nt
Filed under: uncultured bacterium
Lineage: Bacteria
Description: partial 16S ribosomal RNA
Rfam family: Bacterial small subunit ribosomal RNA
Source: RNAcentral